This is a long non-coding RNA of Ficedula albicollis (Collared flycatcher), 508 nucleotides long. RefSeq lists it as uncharacterized. Lineage: Eukaryota; Metazoa; Chordata; Aves; Passeriformes; Muscicapidae. The record is from RefSeq and is a predicted model, not a curated record. The transcript has 3 exons.
CGGCAGCCGCAGCCCGGAGCAGGUCCCGGAAAUGUCUUUGCGGGGAGUUUCUGCAUGAUUUACAUGAAGAGCUCCUAGCUUAUGAUCAUCUUUAUCGAGCAGUACAUUUGAAACGUCUCUUAAUAUGUACUUGUAAUGGCUGAAGUAAAGCCUAAAAUCAACAUGCAAUUGAAUCAGGAUAUUAAAGUCUAGCUAAAUGUCUUACAACUUUCUUAUUCUUUCAUAACAACUUUCCAAGAGCAAUAAACAGAAUGAAACAUUAAGAGCAAGAGCAUAAAGAAUGAAACCCGAAAUGUCGACUCUGCCCGUGUAUUCUACUUAGAACAGCGAUUGGUGCAGGCAGCACUGCAGAGCUUUGCCUCGUGGUGGUCACCAGCAGACAAGGACAGGUGCAGUUUUACAAAGCCUUUAUUUAUUUUUUUGGUUUUCUUUAAGUAAAGGAAUUGAAAAGCACAUAGUGUGACAAAACACAGAGGAUGCAUGAAAUAUUCAUUCAGUACCAAAAGAA